UACGUAGGGCGCAAGCGUUGUCCGGAAUUAUUGGGCGUAAAGAGCUCGUAGGUGGUUUGUCGCGUCUGCCGUGAAAGCCCGGGGCUUAACUCCGGGUCUGCGGUGGAUACGGGCAGACUAGAGGCAGGUAGGGGAGAACGGAAUUCCCGGUGUAGCGGUGAAAUGCGCAGAUAUCAGGAGGAACACCGAUGGCGAAGGCAGGUCUCUGGGCAUUAACUGACGCUGAGGAGCGAAAGCAUGGGGAGCGAACAGG
This 253-nucleotide ribosomal RNA is filed under the name uncultured bacterium. RNAcentral's name for it is "partial 16S ribosomal RNA". It matches the Rfam family "Bacterial small subunit ribosomal RNA", at positions 524 to 776 of the family's 1533-position model. The record is from RNAcentral.